CAGCCGCCACGGGAAUACGGAGGGUGCAAGCGUUAAUCGGAAUUACUGGGCGUAAAGCGCACGCAGGCGGUCUGACAAGUCAGAUGUGAAAUCCCCGGGCUUAACCUGGGAACUGCAUUUGAAACUGUCAGGCUGGAGUCUUGUAGAGGGGGGUGGAAUUCCAGGUGUAGCGGUGAAAUGCGUAGAGAUCUGGAGGAAUACCGGUGGCGAAGGCGGCCCCUGGACAAAGACUGACGCUCAGGUGCGAAAGCGUGGGGAGCAAACAGGAUUAGAUACCCCUGUAGUCCCUGUCUCUUAUCAC
This 301-nucleotide ribosomal RNA is filed under the name uncultured bacterium. Its description in RNAcentral is "partial 16S ribosomal RNA". It matches the Rfam family "Bacterial small subunit ribosomal RNA", at positions 509 to 810 of the family's 1533-position model. The record is from RNAcentral.